UACAUGGGGUGCAAACGUUGCUCGGAAUUAUUGGGCGUAAAGCGCGCGUAGGCGGUUAUCUAAGUCGGAUGUGAAAGCCCUCGGCUUAACUGAGGAAGUGCACCCGAAACUGAGUAGCUAGAGUACUAAAGAGGGUCGCGGAAUUCCCGGUGUAGAGGUGAAAUUCGUAGAUAUCGGGAGGAACAACGGUGGCGAAGGCGGCGACCUGGGUAGAUACUGACGCUGAGGCGCGAAAGCGUGGGGAGCAAACAGG
RNAcentral lists this ribosomal RNA (253 nucleotides) under uncultured bacterium. RNAcentral's name for it is "partial 16S ribosomal RNA". It matches the Rfam family "Bacterial small subunit ribosomal RNA", at positions 524 to 776 of the family's 1533-position model. The record is from RNAcentral.